CAAAGAUUUUAAACAACAGAAUCCUACACUGAUUGACGAAUAUUUAUUCAAUGUUUAACUCCAAAUAUAAGUCAAUUUGGAAUCUUUUUUUCCCUUCGAUUUUUCUUUUCUUUUGUUUCAGUAUUUACUUGACAAUCGGACAAGUAAACUGUAUCGUUUAAUAGGUGCCUGAUGAUGGAUUUCGUUUGGCCUGGCAAUCUGACAGUCGCAAAUAUCAAACCAUGCAGGCGACCAAACUAUUUGGAUGUUCGAAAAUAUAUCAUAUAAGUAACGUUUUUAAAUCUCAUGGUAAACGCAUGGAACUAUAAAAUUCUUAAAAUUGCUUUAAUAUAAAAAAGAAGAUGUGGUGUGAUUGCCAAUGAGACAACUAUCCACAAAAGACCAAAAUGACACAAACAAUAACAAUUAAAAGAAAAAGAAAACCUGUUGCUGCGUAUGAGAUUAUAUACAUACGUCUCGAUCUCCUUGUCCUGUCGAAGUUAUCUGUUUCAGAGACGC
RNAcentral lists this long non-coding RNA (498 nucleotides) under Mytilus galloprovincialis (Mediterranean mussel). Lineage: Eukaryota; Metazoa; Mollusca; Bivalvia; Mytilida; Mytilidae. The record is from RNAcentral.